RNAcentral lists this ribosomal RNA (101 nucleotides) under Pteropus alecto (black flying fox). Lineage: Eukaryota; Metazoa; Chordata; Mammalia; Chiroptera; Pteropodidae. The record is from RNAcentral.
GUCUAUAGCUAAGCCACCCUGAACAAGCCCAAUUUCUGAUCUCAGAAGCUAAGCAGGGUUGGGCCUGGGAGACCACCUAGGAACACCAGGUGCUAUAGGCA